GACGAACGCUGGCGGCGUGCCUAAUACAUGCAAGUAGAACGCACAGUUUAUACCGUAGCUUGCUACACCAUAGACUGUGAGUUGCGAACGGGUGAGUAACGCGUAGGUAACCUGCCUGGUAGCGGGAGAUAACUAUUGGAAACGAUAGCUAGUACCGCAUGCUAUUUAUUAUUGCAUGGUAAUUUAUUGAAAGAUGCUAUUGCAUCACUACCAGUUGGACCUGCGUUGUAUUAGCUAGUAGGUGAGGUAACGGCUCACCUAGGCGACGAUACAUAGCCGAACGGAGAUGGUGAGUGGCCGCACUGGGACGGAGACAGGGCACAGAGGCCUAGAGGAGGCAGCAGUAGGGAAACGUCAGCAAGAGAUGGAAGAUAGACCGAGAAACGCGGAGGGAGGGAAGAAGGUUGUCGGAUCGGAAAGCUCGGUUGUAAGAGAAGAACGGGUGUGAGAGUGGAAAGUUCACAGUGUGACGGUAACUGAUCAGAAAGCGACGGCUAACUACGUG
This 505-nucleotide ribosomal RNA is filed under the name uncultured bacterium. RNAcentral's name for it is "partial 16S ribosomal RNA". It matches the Rfam family "Bacterial small subunit ribosomal RNA", at positions 28 to 507 of the family's 1533-position model. The record is from RNAcentral.